UCGGGAAUUUUGGGCAAUGGGCGAAAGCCUGACCCAGCAACGCCGCGUGAAGGAUGAAGUAUUUCGGUAUGUAAACUUCGUAAGAAUAGGAAGAAUAAAUGACGGUACUAUUUGUAAGGUCCGGCUAACUACGUGCCAGCAGCCGCGGUAAUACGUAGGGACCAGGCGUUGUUCGGAUUUACUGGGCGUAAAGGGCGCGUAGGCGGUUUGUCAAGUCAGUUGUGAAAUCUCCGAGCUUAACUCGGAACGGUCAACUGAUACUGUCAAACUAGAGUACAGAAGGGGCAAUCGGAAUUCUUGGUGUAGCGGUGAAAUGCGUAGAUAUCAAGAGGAACACCUGAGGCGAAGGCGGGUUGCUGGGCUGAUACUGACGCUGAAGCGCGAAAGCUAGGGUAGCAAACGGGAUUAGAUACCCGAGUAGUCCCUGAGCGGGCUGGCAAGGCGCAU
Molecule: ribosomal RNA, 447 nt
Filed under: uncultured bacterium
Lineage: Bacteria
Description: bacterial SSU rRNA
Rfam family: Bacterial small subunit ribosomal RNA
Source: RNAcentral